GAUGAACGCUGGCGGCGUGCCUAAUACAUGCAAGUCGAGCGAACAGACGAGGAGCUUGCUCCUCUGACGUUGGCGACGGACGGGUGAGUAACACGUGGAUAGCCUACCUAUAAGACUGGGAUAACAUCGGGAAACCGGAGAUAAUACCGGAUAAUAUAUUGAACCGCAUGGUGCAGUAGUGAAUGACGGCUUUGCUGUCACUUAUAGCUGGAUCCGCGCCGGAUUAGCUAGUUGGUAAGGUAACGGCUUACCAAGGCGACGAUGCGUAGCCGAUCUGAGAGGGUGAUCAGCCACACUGGAACUGAGACACGGUCCAGACUCCUACGGGAGGCAGCAGUAGGGAAUCUUGGGCAAUGGGCGAAAGCCUGACGCAGCAACGCCGCGUGAGUGAUGAAGGUCUUCGGAUCGUAAAGCUCUGUUAUUAGGGAAGAACAACUGUAGAUGUAAACCUGGCCGUCUUGACGGUACCUAAAGAGAAAGCCCCGGCUAACUACGUG
RNAcentral lists this ribosomal RNA (497 nucleotides) under uncultured bacterium. Its description in RNAcentral is "partial 16S ribosomal RNA". It matches the Rfam family "Bacterial small subunit ribosomal RNA", at positions 28 to 507 of the family's 1533-position model. The record is from RNAcentral.